AGGUCAGGAGCUGUGCACUAAGAGUGCCUCGAACCCCGCCAGGUCCGAAAGGAAGCAACGGUAAGAGGUUGCUCUUAGGUGCCGCAGUAAGCCUGGCUGGAGC
This 103-nucleotide signal recognition particle RNA is filed under the name Dictyoglomus thermophilum H-6-12. Its description in RNAcentral is "Bacterial signal recognition particle RNA". It matches the Rfam family "Bacterial small signal recognition particle RNA". From Rfam's summary of the family: The signal recognition particle (SRP) is a universally conserved ribonucleoprotein involved in the co-translational targeting of proteins to membranes. Lineage: Bacteria; Pseudomonadati; Dictyoglomota; Dictyoglomia; Dictyoglomales; Dictyoglomaceae. The record is from RNAcentral.